CAACAGGCUUUAUUAAAAGCCAUUAGCCAUGCACAACAAAAAGCAC
Non-coding RNA from Colwellia sp. MT41, 46 nucleotides. Lineage: Bacteria; Pseudomonadati; Pseudomonadota; Gammaproteobacteria; Alteromonadales; Colwelliaceae. The record is from Rfam.